UAGGACGAACGCUGGCGGCAUGCUUAACACAUGCAAGUCGAACGGGCGUAUUGGUUAUAGCGAUAUAAUCGGAUACGUUUAGUGGCGAACGGGUGAGUAACGCGUGAGCAACCUGCCUUGUACACCGGGAUAACAGACCGAAAGGACUGCUAAUACCGGAUGAGACCACAGAGGGGCAUCCCUCAGGGGUCAAAGUGAUUUAGCGGUACAAGAUGGGCUCGCGUCCUAUUAGGUAGUUGGUGAGAUAACAGCCCACCAAGCCGAUGAUAGGUAGCCGACUUGAGAGAGUGAUCGGCCACAAUGGAACUGAGACACGGUCCAUACUCCUACGGGAGGCAGCAGUGGGGAAUAUUGGGCAAUGGGCGAAAGCCUUACCCAGCCAAUGCCGCGUGAAUGAUGAAGGUCUUCGGGUUGUAAAUUUCUUUUAUUGGUGACGAACAAAAUGACGGUAGCCGAUGAAUAAGCCCCGGCUAACUACGUGCCAGCAGCAGC
This 492-nucleotide ribosomal RNA is filed under the name uncultured bacterium. Its description in RNAcentral is "bacterial SSU rRNA". It matches the Rfam family "Bacterial small subunit ribosomal RNA", at positions 26 to 518 of the family's 1533-position model. The record is from RNAcentral.